UACGUAGGGUGCGAGCGUUAAUCGGAAUUACUGGGCGUAAAGCGUGCGCAGGCGGUCUGUUAAGACCGAUGUGAAAUCCCCGGGCUUAACCUGGGAACUGCAUUGGUGACUGCAUUGCUGGAGUAUGGCAGAGGGGGGUGGAAUUCCACGUGUAGCAGUGAAAUGCGUAGAGAUGUGGAGGAACACCGAUGGCGAAGGCAGCCCCCUGGGCAAAUACUGACGCUCAUGCACGAAAGCGUGGGGAGCAAACAGG
RNAcentral lists this ribosomal RNA (253 nucleotides) under uncultured bacterium. Its description in RNAcentral is "partial 16S ribosomal RNA". It matches the Rfam family "Bacterial small subunit ribosomal RNA", at positions 524 to 776 of the family's 1533-position model. The record is from RNAcentral.